RNAcentral lists this ribosomal RNA (421 nucleotides) under uncultured bacterium. RNAcentral describes it as "partial 16S ribosomal RNA". It matches the Rfam family "Bacterial small subunit ribosomal RNA", at positions 359 to 773 of the family's 1533-position model. The record is from RNAcentral.
GAUAUUUGACAAUGGGGGCAACCCUGAUCCAGCCAUGCCGCGUGUGUGAAGAGGGNCUNNGGAGUNUNAAGCACUUUAAGUUGNNNNNAAGGUCUUUAGGUUAAUACUCGGAAGUUUUGACGUUACAGACAGAAUAAGCACCGGCUAACUCUCUGCCAGCAGCCGCGGUAAGACAGAGGGUGCAAGCGUUAAUCGGAAUUACUGGGCGUAAAGCGCGCGUAGGUGGUUCAGUAAGAUGGGUGUGAAAUCCCCGGGCUUAACCUGGGAACUGCUUUCAUAACUGCUGAGCUAGAGUACGGUAGAGGGUAGUGGAAUUUCCUGUGUAGCGGUGAAAUGCGUAGAUAUAGGAAGGAACACCAGUGGCGAAGGCGACUACCUGGACUGAUACUGACACUGAGGUGCGAAAGCGUGGGGAGCAAAC